This is a long non-coding RNA of Numida meleagris (helmeted guineafowl), 621 nucleotides long. RefSeq lists it as uncharacterized. The record is from RefSeq and is a predicted model, not a curated record. The transcript is spliced from 2 exons. NCBI's taxonomy places the organism in Eukaryota, Metazoa, Chordata, Aves, Galliformes, Numididae.
GCCGCGCGCAGCCGGGCCGCCCGCCGGCGCCGAGCAGGAGGCAGGGCAGCGGGCCCAGCUCCUUCCCCAGCACGCCGCUCGCCUCGUAGCUCUGCGGGGAGAGAAGCGCGGAGAGUGAGACCGUCCCGGACGCAGGGUCCUUCCCGCACCGGUGGGACCUCACACACCGCGCAUCGGCGACCUCGGCCUCAGAGCAGCCCUUGCCGUACGCGAUGACCACGUCCAGCAGCCGUUCGAGGUGCCGCUCGGCUCGGGCAACGGGGGCCGUGCAGGUACCGCUCCGGGCUGCAGAAGUGGCUAAGCCCUGCCCCGCUGCCCAGAGAAGGGACUGCAAAACAGUACCCCCACGUACCUCGGCAGCUCUGGCAACAAGAAGAAGAGUUUAAAAAAAUACCAGCAGACACUCGAAGUGGUGCUUCUUUCUCUACAGAGAAGCGCUGCUUUUUAAAAUGCAGCCAGUUCCGAGAUGGAAAUGCUAAUGGGAAAAAAAGGAAAAAUACAUCCCUGCGUUUCAGAUAGGAAAAAAAAAAAAAAAAAACCACACACAAAAAACCCAAAGCUCUGUUUCUAAGUACCAGCAUUAUAACAGCUGAAACAUGAAGAAGAGGUUGUUUGAAUCUA